AGAGUUUGCUUCUGGCUCAGGAUGAACGCUGGCGGCGUGCUUAACACAUGCAAGUCGAACGGGAAUGCCGCGCUGAUGCGAUUUCGGUCAAAUCAUGUGGCAUUCGAGUGGCGGACGGGUGAGUAACGCGUGGGUAACCUGCCUUACACAGGGGGAUAACACCUGGAAACAGGUGCUAAUACCGCAUAAGCGCACAGGGCCGCAUGGCCCGGUGUGAAAAACUCCGGUGGUGUAAGAUGGACCCGCGUCUGAUUAGCUUGUUGGCGGGGUAGGGGCCCACCAAGGCGACGAUCAGUAGCCGGCCUGAGAGGGUGGACGGCCACAUUGGGACUGAGACACGGCCCAAACUCCUACGGGAGGCAGCAGUGGGGGAUAUUGGACAAUGGGGGAAACCCUGAUCCAGCGACGCCGCGUGAGUGAAGAAGUAUUUCGGUAUGUAAAGCUCUAUCAGCAGGGAAGAAAAUGACGGUACCUGACUAAGAAGCCCCGGCUAACUACGUGCCAGCAGCCGCGGUAAUACGUAGGGGGCAAGCGUCAUCCGGAUUUACUGGGUGUAAAGGGAGCGUAGACGGCUGUGCAAGCCAGAUGUGAAAGCCCGGGGCUCAACCCCGGGACUGCAUUUGGAACUGUGUGGCUGGAGUGUCGGAGAGGCAGGCGGAAUUCCUAGUGUAGCGGUGAAAUGCGUAGAUAUUGGGAGGAACACCAGUGGCGAAGGCGGCCUGCUGGACGAUGACUGACGUUGAGGCUCGAAAGCGUGGGGAGCAAACAAGAUUAGAUACCCUGGUAGUCCACGCCGUAAACG
Molecule: ribosomal RNA, 802 nt
Filed under: uncultured bacterium
Lineage: Bacteria
Description: bacterial SSU rRNA
Rfam family: Bacterial small subunit ribosomal RNA
Source: RNAcentral